UGAGGAACAUGACCUUCGGCGGGGGAUAGCCGGCCCAACGGCCGGGUAAUAUCGCGUACGACCACAUGGGGACAUCCCUGAGUGGUGAAAGCAGCAAUGCGCCGAUGGAGUGCCUCGCGGCCUAUCAGCUAGUUGGUGAGGUAACGGCUCACCAGGGCGACGACGGGUANCUGGUCUGAGAGGAUGGCCAGCCACAUUGGAACUGAGACACGGUCCAGAUCCGUA
Molecule: ribosomal RNA, 225 nt
Filed under: uncultured bacterium
Lineage: Bacteria
Description: partial 16S ribosomal RNA
Rfam family: Bacterial small subunit ribosomal RNA
Source: RNAcentral